Molecule: ribosomal RNA, 253 nt
Filed under: uncultured bacterium
Lineage: Bacteria
Description: partial 16S ribosomal RNA
Rfam family: Bacterial small subunit ribosomal RNA
Source: RNAcentral
UACGGAAGGGGCAAGCGUUGUUCGGAAUCAUUGGGCGUAAAGGGCUCGUAGGCGGCCAACUAAGUCAUACGUGAAAUCCCUCAGCUUAACUGGGGAACUGCGUGUGAUACUGGAUGGCUUGGAUUUGGGAGAGGGAUGCGGAAUUCCAGGUGUAGCGGUGAAAUGCGUAGAUAUCUGGAGGAACACCGGUGGCGAAGGCGGCAUCCUGGACCAAUAUUGACGCUGAGGAGCGAAAGCCAGGGGAGCAAACGGG